RNAcentral lists this ribosomal RNA (253 nucleotides) under uncultured bacterium. RNAcentral's name for it is "partial 16S ribosomal RNA". It matches the Rfam family "Bacterial small subunit ribosomal RNA", at positions 524 to 776 of the family's 1533-position model. The record is from RNAcentral.
GACAGAGGGUGCAAGCGUUGUUCGGAAUUAUUGGGCGUAAAGGGCGCGUAGGUGGCCGCGUAAGUCGGAUGUGAAAGCCCAGGGCUUAACCCUGGAAGUGCAUCCGAUACUGUGUGGCUUGAGUCCCGGAGAGGGUCGUGGAAUUCCCAGUGUAGAGGUGAAAUUCGUAGAUAUUGGGAGGAACACCAGUGGCGAAGGCGACGACCUGGACGAGGACUGACACUGAGGCGCGAAAGCGUGGGGAGCAAACAGG